AUUGAACGCUGGCGGCAGGCCUAACACAUGCAAGUCGAGCGAGCGGCGGACGGGUGAGUAAUGUAUGGGGACUGCCCGAUAGAGGGGGAACACUAAUGGAAACGGGGGCUAAUACCGCAUACUAUCGGAUAACCCAUAUGGGAUUAGCUUGGAGGUGGGGUAAAGGCACACCUAGGCGACGAUCUCUCGCUGGUCUGAGAGGAUGAUCAGCCACACUGGGACUGAGAAACGGCCCGGAGUCCUACGGAGGCAGAAGUGGGGAAUAUUGCACAAUGGGCGCAAGCCGGAUGCAGCCAUGGCGCGUGUAUGAAGAAGGCCUUAGGGUGGGAAAGUACUUUCAGCGGGGAGGCGUUACCCGCAGAAGAAGCACCGGCUAACUCCGUGCCAGCAGCCGCGGUAAUUC
Molecule: ribosomal RNA, 403 nt
Filed under: uncultured bacterium
Lineage: Bacteria
Description: partial 16S ribosomal RNA
Rfam family: Bacterial small subunit ribosomal RNA
Source: RNAcentral